RNAcentral lists this long non-coding RNA (202 nucleotides) under Nicotiana benthamiana. RNAcentral describes it as "long non-coding RNA (NBEN_LNC016788)". The record is from RNAcentral. Lineage: Eukaryota; Viridiplantae; Streptophyta; Magnoliopsida; Solanales; Solanaceae.
UAGAAAGUCUGGACAGUAGAUCACCUUGCAAUUUGCUAGCAUUCAUGAUUUGCAUUCUACAGUCAAUAAUCUUCCUAGUUAUCCAAGAGGUAUUUUUUGGACUAGCCAUUGUUUCAAUAUCUUCCUUCUUUAUGUAGUCAAGAUGGAUCCAUUUGAUCCAAAGGCAGUCUUUCUUCCUUGCUAAAUCCCAUAGCAGUUUUGA